GCCCUACGGGGGGCAGCAGUGAGGAAUAUUGGUCAAUGGGCGCGAGCCUGAACCAGCCAAGUCGCGCGAGGGAUGACGGCCCUACGGGUUGUAAACCUCUUUUGCCGGGGAGCAACGGGCGCCACGUGUGGCGCCACUGAGAGUACCCGGAGAAAAAGCAUCGGCUAACUCCGUGCCAGCAGCCGCGGUAAUACGGAGGAUGCGAGCGUUAUCCGGAUUUAUUGGGUUUAAAGGGUGCGCAGGCGGAAUGUCAAGUCAGCGGUAAAAUUUCGGGGCUCAACGCCGUCGAGCCGUUGAAACUGGCG
RNAcentral lists this ribosomal RNA (305 nucleotides) under uncultured bacterium. Its description in RNAcentral is "bacterial SSU rRNA". It matches the Rfam family "Bacterial small subunit ribosomal RNA", at positions 335 to 638 of the family's 1533-position model. The record is from RNAcentral.